Molecule: ribosomal RNA, 498 nt
Filed under: uncultured bacterium
Lineage: Bacteria
Description: partial 16S ribosomal RNA
Rfam family: Bacterial small subunit ribosomal RNA
Source: RNAcentral
AUUGAACGCUGGCGGCAGGCCUAACACAUGCAAGUCGAGCGGCAGCGGGACCUUCGGGUUGCCGGCGAGCGGCGGACGGGUGAGUAAUGCCUAGGAAUCUGCCUGUUAGUGGGGGAUAACGCGGGGAAACUCGCGCUAAUACCGCAUACGUCCUACGGGAGAAAGCGGGGGCUCUUCGGACCUCGCGCUAACAGAUGAGCCUAGGUCGGAUUAGCUAGUUGGUGGGGUAAUGGCCCACCAAGGCGACGAUCCGUAACUGGUCUGAGAGGAUGAUCAGUCACUGGAACUGAGACACGGUCCAGACUCCUACGGGAGGCAGCAGUGGGGAAUAUUGGACAAUGGGCGAAAGCCUGAUCCAGCCAUGCCGCGUGUGUGAAGAAGGUCUUCGGAUUGUAAAGCACUUUAAGUCGGGAGGAAGGGCUGUAGGCUAAUACCUUGCAGUUUUGACGUUACCGGCAGAAUAAGCACCGGCUAACUUCGUGCCAGCCGCCGCAGUAA